RNAcentral lists this ribosomal RNA (375 nucleotides) under uncultured bacterium. RNAcentral's name for it is "bacterial SSU rRNA". It matches the Rfam family "Bacterial small subunit ribosomal RNA", at positions 524 to 898 of the family's 1533-position model. The record is from RNAcentral.
UACGGAGGGUGCAAGCGUUAAUCGGAAUUACUGGGCGUAAAGCGCACGCAGGCGGUCUGUCAAGUCGGAUGUGAAAUCCCCGGGCUCAACCUGGGAACUGCAUUCGAAACUGGCAGGCUGGAGUCUUGUAGAGGGGGGUAGAAUUCCAGGUGUAGCGGUGAAAUGCGUAGAGAUCUGGAGGAAUACCGGUGGCGAAGGCGGCCCCCUGGACAAAGACUGACGCUCAGGUGCGAAAGCGUGGGGAGCAAACAGGAUUAGAUACCCUGGUAGUCCACGCCGUAAACGAUGUCGAUUUGGAGGUUGUGCCCUUGAGGCGUGGCUUCCGGAGCUAACGCGAUAAGUAGACCGCCUGGGGAGUACGGUCGCAAGACUAAA